RNAcentral lists this long non-coding RNA (342 nucleotides) under Theobroma cacao (cacao). RNAcentral describes it as "long non-coding RNA (TCAC_LNC001049)". The record is from RNAcentral. Lineage: Eukaryota; Viridiplantae; Streptophyta; Magnoliopsida; Malvales; Malvaceae.
UAAAAGCAAAAUAAAUUCAUACAUACUGUAAUACAGAUAAUCAAGGUAUGUAAUUUAAUUUACAAUGACACGUGGGCCCCCCAAAUGACAAAAGUGAACGAAGGUUGUGAACCUACGAUUUUUGAGGAAGUAAAGCCAAUUGUAGCCUUCGACGAUAUCAGCUAUCUACAAACUAUCCUGAGCUUGAAAUGGGUGGAAAGGAGGGUGGUGAAAUUAUAUAAUCAUAGUGAGUAAACAAACAUCAUCCAAAAUAUCUAAAGUCGAGUAAAUGGAGACGAUUAAAAUAUUCCAUCUCAAUAUGUAUUUCAUAACAUAAAUAUUCAUUUCAUUUAAAUAAUCAAC